This is a long non-coding RNA of Oreochromis aureus, 378 nucleotides long. RefSeq lists it as uncharacterized. NCBI's taxonomy places the organism in Eukaryota, Metazoa, Chordata, Actinopteri, Cichliformes, Cichlidae. The record is from RefSeq and is a predicted model, not a curated record. The transcript is spliced from 3 exons.
CCAUUUUGUUUUAUCAACAGACGGAGAUGGAUUACGAACUUGCAAGUCCUGGUGUGCUCUGUUCACUUUCAACCGAGGAACUCUUAACAAAAAUACAAGAGUGGGGCUUAGAUGUCACCGAAGCUGAAGCUCAGCGUUUCAGAGACAAUGAGGUUGAUGGUGACACAGUUGACUGCGGUCUUACUGAGACUAUGGUUGCAUACCUUUUCCAAGGAUCCUUCAAAAAGCAGGUUAAAUUCAACCAAUUUGUGUCAAGGAUGAAGGAAUCUUCAGUGACGCUGACUCUACAGACUGUCUCUCCAGAAGACUGGCAACCAUCUACUUAAUCAACUUCAAUAAGCAAUGAAAAUACUUUGAGACUGCCAGCCUCUUUUGAAA